GCAUAACGCGAAGAACCUUACCAAGGCUUGACAUGCAUCUCUAAGCGCGUGAAAGCGCGUGACCCUUCGGGGGAUUUGCACAGGUGCUGCAUGGCCGUCGUCAGCUCGUGUCGUGAGAUGUUGGGUUAAGUCCCGCAACGAGCGCAACCCUUGUGACUAGUUGCCAGCACGUUAUGGUGGGAACCUCUAGUCAGACUGCCCAGAUCAACCUGGGAGGAAGGUGGGGACGACGUCAGGUCAGUAUGGGCCCUUGCGCCUUGGGCUGCACACGUACUACAAUGCCCAGCACAAUGAGAACCGAGACCGCGAGGUGGAGGAAAUCUAAAAAACUGGGCCCAGUUCGGAUUGGAGGCUGCAACUCGCCUCCAUGAAGUUGGAAUC
This 381-nucleotide ribosomal RNA is filed under the name uncultured bacterium. RNAcentral describes it as "bacterial SSU rRNA". It matches the Rfam family "Bacterial small subunit ribosomal RNA", at positions 954 to 1333 of the family's 1533-position model. The record is from RNAcentral.